Molecule: ribosomal RNA, 119 nt
Filed under: Aegilops tauschii subsp. strangulata
Lineage: Eukaryota; Viridiplantae; Streptophyta; Magnoliopsida; Poales; Poaceae
Source: RNAcentral
GGAUGCGAUCAUACCAGCACUAAAGCACCGGAUCCCAUCAGAACUCUGUAGUUAAGCGUGCUUGGGCGAGAGUAGCACUAGGAUGGGUGACCUCCUGGGAAGUCCUCGUGUUGCAUUCC